CCUGUUGCUUGCAGAUGACAGGAACACAAAGUGUUUGUGCCACGUGAUGCUGCAGGAUUUGUUAACAUGUCCAUGAUGGUAACAUCUCCUCGUCUAACUGCAAACACAUGAGCGCUCCUAACGGCAGCUAUCACAGCCACACAGGCAGACUGUGUCUCACUGUUGCAUUCAGGGACAUUUGUUGUCCUGUAAAAAGCUGAACUCUAAUCUAAGAGGACUGUUACUGACAGCAAACAGCUGCAUUAUCUGCAGUCUGUGUGAUCACAGCUGCUUCAAUCACUUUAUCAGAGAAUUGAUCAUUGAAUAAAACAUGUUUGUGUCUGCAGAGGUCAGAGGUCACAGUCUGCAGGAUCCAGCUGUCUGUCUAUAAGGAGUGAUGAGUCCAAAGGUCACCCUCCACACUUCAGUGGUGAACCUGGACCAAUGAGAGAGAGGAAGAGAAGUGGUGUUUGUGAGGAGGAGCAGCUGUCCUGCUGUGCUUUGUGUCAGGACGUGCUGAAGGAUCCAGUCUCUACCAGCUGUGGACACUGGUUCUGCAGACAGUGUAUCUCCUCAUACUGGGACCAGUCUGCUUCAUCAGGAGACUCCUCCUGUCCCCAGUGUGGAGAAAGAUCCAGAAGCAGAGCUGGACUGCAGACAGCCAGUCAGAGCAGCUGUGUACAAACAGAUGUUGGUCUGCAGGAGGUUUUAGAUGAAC
This is a long non-coding RNA of Oreochromis niloticus (Nile tilapia), 697 nucleotides long. RefSeq lists it as uncharacterized. The record is from RefSeq and is a predicted model, not a curated record. NCBI's taxonomy places the organism in Eukaryota, Metazoa, Chordata, Actinopteri, Cichliformes, Cichlidae. The transcript has 3 exons.